GAUGAACGCUAGCUACAGGCUUAACACAUGCAAGUCGCGGGGCAGCGCAUGGGGCAGCAAUGUCCCUGGCGGCGACCGGCGGAUGGGUGAGUAACGCGUAUCCAACCUGGCCCUAUCUCGGGCACAGCCCCUCGAAAGAGGGAUUAAUUCCCGAUGUUCCCACGGGUCCGCAUGUUCCCGUGGGCAAAGGCAUUUUGUCGGAUAGGGAUGGGGAUGCGUUCCAUUAGGCAGCCGGCGGGGUAACGGCCCACCGGGCCUUCGAUGGAUAGGGGUUCUGAGAGGAAGGCCCCCCACACUGGGACUGAGACACGGCCCAGACUCC
This 322-nucleotide ribosomal RNA is filed under the name uncultured Bacteroides sp. Its description in RNAcentral is "bacterial SSU rRNA". It matches the Rfam family "Bacterial small subunit ribosomal RNA", at positions 28 to 339 of the family's 1533-position model. Lineage: Bacteria; Pseudomonadati; Bacteroidota; Bacteroidia; Bacteroidales; Bacteroidaceae. The record is from RNAcentral.